This 339-nucleotide long non-coding RNA is filed under the name Mytilus galloprovincialis (Mediterranean mussel). Lineage: Eukaryota; Metazoa; Mollusca; Bivalvia; Mytilida; Mytilidae. The record is from RNAcentral.
UGGGGCAAGUAUGGACACAACAUUCAAGCUGGAUUCAGCUCUAAAUUUGGAUUGUGAUUAAAUAGUUGACACUGCAUAGGUUUCUGACACAGAAUGAAUGUGGUCUAAUGAACUUAAAAUGUUUUUUUUUGCCUUUGAGCAAUUCACUAUGCUGUUGAAUAUUAAUCCUCUCAAAAAAAUGUUUGAAGAAAUUUUCUUUUUAUUUAUGAAAUCUGAAAUGAGAAAAUUUUAACACCCCCCCCCCCCCAUUUUUAUUUCACUUCCCCCUUUCCCUUUUCCCAAAACUGAUCUCAAUUCAAAUUUCUAAUGGAGUUUGCAACAAUAACUACUCAUUUAAAU